AGAAACCAACAGGGAUUGCCUCAGUAACGGCGAGUGAAGCGGCAAAAGCUCAAAUUUGAAAUCCCCCCGGGGAGUUGUAAUUUGAAGAUUGCGUCUUGGAGGCGACCGUGUCUAUGUUCCUUGGAACAGGACGUCACAGAGGGUGAGAAUCCCGUGCGGCACGGCCCCCGGCUCCUUAUAAGGCGCUCUCGACGAGUCGAGUUGUUUGGGAAUGCAGCUCAAAGUGGGUGGUAAAUUCCAUCUAAAGCUAAAUACAGGCGAGAGACCGAUAGCGAACAAGUACAGUGAUGGAAAGAUGAAAAGCACUUUGAAAAGAGAGUGAAACAGCACGUGAAAUUGUUGAAAGGGAAGGGCAUGCCGUCAGAUUGUCAGUGUGGGUAAGAAGCGGGGUACAAAGACUGUGGAACGUGGCCCUCGGGUGUUAUAGCCGCAGUUCAUGCCCCGUCUCUUUCCGAGGCCUGCUUUGAGGACACCGACGUAAUGACGGUACGCCGCCCGUCUUGA
RNAcentral lists this ribosomal RNA (504 nucleotides) under Kodamaea ohmeri. RNAcentral describes it as "eukaryotic LSU rRNA". It matches the Rfam family "Eukaryotic large subunit ribosomal RNA", at positions 60 to 657 of the family's 3401-position model. The record is from RNAcentral. Lineage: Eukaryota; Fungi; Ascomycota; Pichiomycetes; Serinales; Debaryomycetaceae.